RNAcentral lists this transfer RNA (73 nucleotides) under Crassvirales sp. RNAcentral's name for it is "tRNA-Trp". It matches the Rfam family "tRNA". From Rfam's summary of the family: Transfer RNA (tRNA) molecules are approximately 80 nucleotides in length. The record is from RNAcentral. Lineage: Duplodnaviria; Heunggongvirae; Uroviricota; Caudoviricetes; Crassvirales.
UAGGGUGUAGUUCAAUUGGUGGAACACUGGUCUCCAAAACCAGCAGUUGUGGGUUCAAAUCCUGCCACCUUAG